RNAcentral lists this ribosomal RNA (985 nucleotides) under Russula acrifolia. Its description in RNAcentral is "partial large subunit ribosomal RNA". It matches the Rfam family "Eukaryotic large subunit ribosomal RNA", at positions 1 to 961 of the family's 3401-position model. RNAcentral also lists the same sequence under 2 other names. Lineage: Eukaryota; Fungi; Basidiomycota; Agaricomycetes; Russulales; Russulaceae. The record is from RNAcentral.
UUGACCUCAAAUCGGGUGAGACUACCCGCUGAACUUAAGCAUAUCAAUAAGCGGAGGAAAAGAAACUAACAAGGAUUCCCCUAGUAACUGCGAGUGAAGCGGGAAAAGCUCAAAUUUAAAAUCUGGUGGCCUCUGGUCAUCCGAGUUGUAAUUUAGAGAAGCGUCUUCCGCGCUGGACCAUGCACAAGUCUCCUGGAAUGGAGCGUCAUAGAGGGUGAGAAUCCCGUCUUUGGCAUGGAUGCACCAGGGCUUCUGUGAUGCGCUCUCAAAGAGUCGAGUUGUUUGGGAAUGCAGCUCAAAAUGGGUGGUGAACUCCAUCUAAAGCUAAAUAUUGGCGAGAGACCGAUAGCGAACAAGUACCGUGAGGGAAAGAUGAAAAGCACUUUGGAAAGAGAGUGAAACAGUACGUGAAAUUGUUGAAAGGGAAACGCUUGAAGUCAGUCGCGUCGACCGAGACUCAGCCUCGCCUUGGCUUGGUGUACUUCUCGGCUGACGGGUCAGUGUCAAUUUUGGGCCUCGGAUAAUGACAAGGGAAAGGUGGCACCUUUAUAGGUGUGUUAUAGUCUCCUGUCGGAUGCGAGGGUCGGGAUUGAGGAACUCAGCACGCGCCUUUUGGUGUCGGGGCUUCGGCCUACGCUACGUGCUUAGGAUGCUGGCAUAAUGGCUUUAAACGACCCGUCUUGAAACACGGACCAAGGAGUCUAACAUGCCCGCGAGUGUUCGGGUGGAAAACCCGUGCGCGUAAUGAAAGUAAAAGUUGGGACCUCUGUCGUGGAGAGCACCGACGCCCGGACCAGACCUUCUGUGACGGAUCUGCGGUAGAGCGUGCAUGUUGGGACCCGAAAGAUGGUGAACUAUGCCUGAAUAGGGUGAAGCCAGAGGAAACUCUGGUGGAGGCUCGUAGCGAUUCUGACGUGCAAAUCGAUCGUCAAAUUUGGGUAUAGGGGCGAAAGACUAAUCGAACCAUCUAGUAGCUGGUUCCUGC